This 1450-nucleotide unclassified non-coding RNA is filed under the name Hevea brasiliensis (rubber tree). The record is from RNAcentral. Lineage: Eukaryota; Viridiplantae; Streptophyta; Magnoliopsida; Malpighiales; Euphorbiaceae.
AUCAACGCCAUGAAUGUAUGCAUCCCACCAAUCUAAUAACCACACUUCUAAAAUACUGACUCGAAAUAAUUUCAUCAUACAUAACUGUUUCAAUUUCAAUCCAUUUUGUUCAUAUGGUCGCUUCAUGUUGGUUUGUGUAUGAAGUAGGGUCAUACACCUUAAGCAAGAACUUCAUCUAAAAUUAAUCUAAAAUGUUAUACAACAAAAGUAAGCAAUAGCUUAAGAUUGAAGGGUUUCCGCCCAAAGGUCUACUAUGCUUUCUUUCUAAAUAGCCUUGGAGCUGGUUUCUUUCUAGGCUUGAUCGUACAUUUUUCUUGCUUGUCCUUCUCAUCAACUGAUUUUACCUCAUCGGAUUUUCCAACAGAUUCAUCCUUGUUAUUGUGCUCUCGAGAAACAAAACCAUUUUCCUGGACCGAGUUUAGAUCAUCUGAUCUUCCUCCAUUGAUUGCUCUGUUUCGUGGUUGGGGUUUUUGAUCAUCUGAAAACUUAUCAUUCUUAUCUGGCUUGGCUUUCUUGGACUUGCGUGUCUGUCUGGAAUGCGAAUCAGUCUUCUUCUGAUCUUUUGAUCCUUUCUUUGCCGCUGUAGAUCCUUGUUUUUCUACAAUAUCUGAAGAAUGUGCUUGACUAGACAACAGAAAGGAUGAUACUCUAAAUGUGUAAAUCUUAAAUCUGUCCGACUCUACCAAUUCAAACACCACUGCAUCACCAUCAUCUAGUUUAUGAUCCAAUGCAAAUCCCCUCCACCCGCCGCUAAGCCCAUUCCUUUUGCCAAGGUAUUUAGCGUCAUAUGUUGAGCCAUUUUCAUCUUCUAGUAUCAUAUCCAAGUCCUCUUUUGGUAGGUGAUCCUUGCAAAAUUGAGUAGGAAGCCCCAACCAGAAACAGCUAUAAACAUGAGACCGAACCAUUGAUUUGACAAAAGACGGGUUUCCAGAUUGUAGGCUACUUUGGAAUUCUUCUGCAACUCUAAGUGCUCGAGCCCGAUCUUCAUAAGAAGCAAGUUUGACUUCUUCCAAUGGCCUUGCAACAUAGCUUCCCCAUGAUGAGCUAAAUCUUGACCUCUUCCGCAAGGGUGGAAGGUGGAUGUCCAUAUCAUCACUAUAAGAGGUAACCGCAUUUCGUGCUCGAGAAGAGCGUCUUGGCUCAAAUGCCGCAGAAUUCUCUGGUUUUGGUUUUGGAAGGCGUUGCUUGGACUUCUUCUCAGGGCUAGUGAGCUUGGAGAGACUCUUGGAGAUGUUCAAAAUUCCCAAGUCCUCGAAGCGCUUUUUAUUUUCUUCAAGGCGCUGCUUGCGAGCUUCUUCAUAAGUGCUGGGGCUAGCAUCGUCCGCCGCCAUCUUAGAACAGUACGACAGAGAAGAUAGAAUUCCUAGGAGUGAAAGAAGCUGCGCUUCUACUACCACCACCACCCAGCUACUGCUAAAAUAUUUCGUUUUUCUUUUUUCCUUUUGUGCAA